AUUAAGGCAAAAAUUGCAUAUUGCCUUCUUGCGUACACGUGUCUCUGUCUGACAAGUUGACUGCUUGAUUUUGACAUUCGGAAUCCCAUCUUGCAUUCUUACAUGUACAUGCCUUUAUUUGAUAUUCAGUUUGAUUUGAUUUUGCCUGCUUCAUAUAUUCGUCUCGCUUUCGGACAUGCUGUAAUCUGAUAUACUACUUCAUCAUACUGACUAGUGGUUCCGUACAUCUUGCCUUUUCGGACCGUCAAUGGUGUAUACUUAUUGACGAAGAUAACAUCUAGCUAUCGGACAUGAUGUAAUCUGAUAUACUACUUCAUCCUACUCAACUAGUGGUUACUUACAUCGUGCCUUCUUGGAGCGUCAAUGGUGUAUACUUCUUAGUGAAAACAACUUAAGAAGUUUCUUAACUAUGUGAUUGCAAGGAGCUGGGUUAUGAAAUAAUUUCAGUGCAUUCUUAAAUUCUUGUUCAGGUGGAGAUAACCCUUUCUACGGAAACACACGAACUGUACCGAGAGUGUUAAGACUACACGUCCGGUAACAGCACUAAACACCAUAUAUUCCUAUUUGAAUCCAAGUAAAAUGAGUAUAUUUUUCGAGACUCUACCUUUAAUCGGAUAUAUAAAUAGCGCGCUAUAAAUAGCCUACAGAACAGAAUUAUGUCAUCACCUGAGUACUAGUCGAAAUAAUUACACGUUCAUACAUGUAUUGUUUUAUAUUUGUGACGCUGACGGGCAAUCUAAAUGGGGAUAUUGCCCAUAUGAAAAAAUAUCACAAUAUUUCCUGGGAUCGCGUCAAAUUAGUUGGACUACUGUUGCUUAUUCAAAGGAGACAUGAUAUCUAACAUUUUGAGAAAUAGCACUGUGGUCAGCAUUUGUCUCACGUGAACUGUGGAGACAUUUGGAUACUGUACCUGAAUGUUCAUCACAAAGUGCUGGUGUUUUGAUAUCUACAAGAGCAGACGGCAACAGAAUUGGAGAUUACCCAAAUCUAAAGAGGAGUACAAGAAACAACAAAAAAGCUAUGAAAAACAAAUGAAAUAAAAACAACGUGAAAUUAUAUUGAAUCAUGGCCCUGGGUUCCAGACCGUUCGACAACAACGAAAAAAAAUUAUUUUUUUUAGCUCACCAUAGCACAAACUGCUUAAGGUGAGCUAUUGUGAGUGACCGGCGUCCGUCGACGUGCGUCUUGCGUAAACAUUUGCCUUGUGAACACUCUAGAGGCCACAUUUAUGACCCAAUCUUUAUGAAACUUGGUCAGAAUGUUAGUCAUGAUGAUCUCUAGGUCAAGUUUGAAAGUGGGUUAUGUGGGGUCAAAAACAAUGUCAGUAGGUUAGAUCAAAGAAAAUGCCUGUGAACACUCUAGAGACCACAUUUUUGACCCAAUCUUUAUAAAAAUUUGUCAGAAUGUUAGAAUGUUAGUCUUGAUAAUCUCUAGGUCAAGUUUGAUAUUGGGUCAUGUGGAGUUAAAACCUAGGUCAGUAGGUUAGAUCAAAUAAAACGCUUGUUAACACUCUAGAGACCACAUUUUUAACCCAAUCUUUAUAAAACUUGGUCAGAAUGUUAGUCUUGAUGAUCUCUAGGUCAGUUUCGAAACUGGGUCAUGUUGGAUCAUAAACUAGGUCACCUGGUCAAAUCAAAUGAAAAGUUUGUAAACACUCUAAAGGCCACAGUUGUGUACCAAUAUUUAUGAAACAUAGUCAGAAAAUUUGACUUGAUGAUUUCUAGGUCAAAUUUGAAUCUAGGUCAUGUGGGGUCAAAAACUAUAAACGACAGUGUCUACUUGCAGUAGGGAGCACAAUGCCUAACUUUAUAGUGCUGCCUCACCCCACCCAGUCACAUUAUACUGACACCGGGCUGACCAGUCCCAUCACUAUCCUCUUAAUGCUGAACGUCAAGCAAAGAAGCUUCUAGUACCAUUUUUACGUCUUUGGUAUGACGCGGCCGGGGAUUGAACCCACGACCUCCCGCACUCAAAGCGGACGCUCUACCACUAGGCUACCGAGGCGGUAGGCCACAGUUGUAACUCAAUCUUUAUGAAACUGGGUCGAAUGUUUGUCUUAAUCAUUUCUAGGUCAAGGUCGAAUCUGGGUCAUGUGGGGUCAAAAACUAGGUCACCCGGUCAAAUCAAAGGAAAAGCUUGUGAAAUCUCUAGAGGCCACAGUUGUAACCAGAUCUUAAUGAAAUUUAAUCAAUAUGUUUGUGACGAUCUUUAGGUCAAGUUCAACUCUUGUCAUGUGGGGUCAAAAACUAGGUCAGUAGGCCAGAUAAACUCUUUUGAGCGAUAUGUAGGGUCAUGGCCCUCUUGUUUUUGCUAGAUAUCUGGAAAUUAAUGCUAUGUUUCUGAAGAAUGCUUUGAAACUUAAUUCUGACAGACUAUCAUGAAAACAUGUGAGAAAUAGUUGUUUUUACUAAUUUUACGAUGAAAAUCGAAAAGCGUUUGUUACGCUUUACUCGAGGUAAAGAAAAGUAUUUAUGGAGGUCAGUGCCUUCAAUUUUAUAAAAGACAAUUCAACACACAUUUCUGUCGAGAUCUAACUUUAUGUGAUGGACCUUUUUAUCUCGGACAAAGUAUAUGAUACGCGAAAACGGUUCGGCAAUGUUGCUUAAAUGAGCAUGCAUAUCUUUAACAGUCUGCAAAUAAAAGAUAGAUUUUAAGAAGUUAUUCAUUUAUAUCAUACUGUAUAAUAAUAGAUUUAUGCUAUGUCAUUUUCAAAGAGAAUUUAUAUGUGUUUCCUUUUAUUUGUUAACUAUCUGUUUGUGUUGGCAUAAUAAACAAUUAUGAAUAUAAAAAUAUAAAAAUGA
Molecule: long non-coding RNA, 2801 nt
Organism: Mercenaria mercenaria
Lineage: Eukaryota; Metazoa; Mollusca; Bivalvia; Venerida; Veneridae
Exons: 3
Source: RefSeq, a predicted model, not a curated record